AAAAAGACAAACCCUGGUUUCCGUGCCCAACGUUUGACCGUUCGUCUUAUUUAAAAAAAUUAUGAAAAAAAAUAAAAAGACAAGUCACGCAUAAAAUAUUAAUCAUGUUUUAUCAUCUAACAACAAUGAAAAUACGAAUUAUAAAAAAAAUUCAUAUAAGACGGACAGUCAAAGUUGGACACGCAAACCCAGGGUUUGCCUUUUU
RNAcentral lists this microRNA precursor (205 nucleotides) under Oryza sativa Japonica Group (Japanese rice). Its description in RNAcentral is "MIR812 microRNA precursor family". It matches the Rfam family "MIR812 microRNA precursor family". Lineage: Eukaryota; Viridiplantae; Streptophyta; Magnoliopsida; Poales; Poaceae. The record is from Rfam by way of RNAcentral.